Leopardus geoffroyi (Geoffroy's cat) is the source of this 479-nucleotide long non-coding RNA. RefSeq lists it as uncharacterized. The transcript is spliced from 3 exons. The record is from RefSeq and is a predicted model, not a curated record. NCBI's taxonomy places the organism in Eukaryota, Metazoa, Chordata, Mammalia, Carnivora, Felidae.
AAAGGAAUGCCCGUGAACUACAGCAAUCUUAGAUGCCCAGGUUACAUUAUCCGAACAGCCCUGAGGCUGAACUGAAGGAAGUCCUCCAGCCUUCGCAGGGGAAAUCUGACACAGCUAGAAAGCAAUGGAAAACACUAAGCGUUGCAUCAGAUGUUGAAGAGGAACUGAUCAUACCAUGGAGAUAAAAAUGAUCUCUUUAAGGAGGAUUUCAAAAAUCUGGCUAUUUCAAGGCUUUGUGCACUGAUGGGAAUGAGGCAGCCGGCAGCCAAGCCACAUAACGGGACCCUGGAGAAAGACGUCUUGGGCAAUUUGCACAAGAGUUUCCUUCUUUAAAUAACCACACAGUAAGUCAAUAUCCCUGAGGGCAUUUGUUUAUUGGCUGCCUUAUUACCUUUUUUUUUUUUAACACAAAUCUCUUAAAGACACUUCUGUUGGUUUUAUAUACACUUGCUCAGGCUUGUCUUACUUUAGUAAUACUG